Molecule: ribosomal RNA, 460 nt
Filed under: uncultured bacterium
Lineage: Bacteria
Description: partial 16S ribosomal RNA
Rfam family: Bacterial small subunit ribosomal RNA
Source: RNAcentral
CCUACGGGCGGCAGCAGUGAGGAAUAUUGGUCAAUGGACGAGAGUCUGAACCAGCCACGUAGCGUGAAGGAUGACUGCCCUAUGGGUUGUAAACUUCUUUUAUAUGGGAAUAAAACGUUCCACGUGUGGGAUUUUGUAUGUACCAUAUGAAUAAGGAUCGGCUAAAUCCGUGCCAGCAGCCGCGGUAAUACGGAGGAUCCGAGCGUUAUCCGGAUUUAUUGGGUUUAAAGGGAGCGUAGGUGGAUUGUUAAGUCAGUUGUGAAAGUUUGCGGCUCAACCGUAAAAUUGCAGUUGAAACUGGCAGUCUUGAGUACAGUAGAGGUGGGCGGAAUUCGUGGUGUAGCGGUGAAAUGCUUAGAUAUCACGAAGAACUCCGAUUGCGAAGGCAGUUCACUGGACUGCAACUGACACUGAGGCUCGAAAGUGUGGGUAUCAAACAGGAUUAGAUACCCUUGUAGUC